RNAcentral lists this ribosomal RNA (487 nucleotides) under uncultured bacterium. RNAcentral's name for it is "bacterial SSU rRNA". It matches the Rfam family "Bacterial small subunit ribosomal RNA", at positions 23 to 507 of the family's 1533-position model. The record is from RNAcentral.
CUCAGAUUGAACGCUGGCGGCAUGCCUUACACAUGCAAGUCGAACGGUAACGGGCCUUCGGGUGCCGACGAGUGGCGAACGGGUGAGUAAUGCAUCGGAACGUACCUUUCAGUGGGGGAUAACGUAGCGAAAGUUACGCUAAUACCGCAUAUUCUGUGAGCAGGAAAGCAGGGGAUCGCAAGACCUUGCGCUGAUUGAGCGGCCGAUGUCAGAUUAGCUAGUUGGUGAGGUAAAGGCUCACCAAGGCGACGAUCUGUAGCGGGUCUGAGAGGAUGAUCCGCCACACUGGAACUGAAACACGGUCCAGACUCCUACGGGAGGCAGCAGUGGGGAAUUUUGGACAAUGGGGGCAACCCUGAUCCAGCCAUGCCGCGUGAGUGAAGAAGGCCUUCGAGUUGUAAAGCUCUUUCGGCCGGGAAGAAAUCGCAUGGGUUAAUACCCUGUGCGGAUGACGGUACCGGCAUAAGAAGCACCGGCUAACUACGUG